UGGUCUACUGAUCGAGUUCCAGG
Molecule: non-coding RNA, 23 nt
Filed under: Cricetulus griseus (Chinese hamster)
Lineage: Eukaryota; Metazoa; Chordata; Mammalia; Rodentia; Cricetidae
Source: RNAcentral